RNAcentral lists this ribosomal RNA (496 nucleotides) under uncultured bacterium. Its description in RNAcentral is "partial 16S ribosomal RNA". It matches the Rfam family "Bacterial small subunit ribosomal RNA", at positions 28 to 506 of the family's 1533-position model. The record is from RNAcentral.
GAUGAACGCUGGCGGCGUGCCUAAUACAUGCAAGUCGAGCGAACAGACGAGGAGCUUGCUCCUCUGACGUUAGCGGCGGACGGGUGAGUAACACGUGGAUAACCUACCUAUAAGACUGGGAUAACUUCGGGAAACCGGAGCUAAUACCGGAUAAUAUAUUGAACCGCAUGGUUCAAUAGUGAAAGACGGUUUUGCUGUCACUUAUAGAUGGAUCCGCGCCGCAUUAGCUAGUUGGUAAGGUAACGGCUUACCAAGGCGACGAUGCGUAGCCGACCUGAGAGGGGGAUGGGCACCACGGGAACGGGGGACGGGUCCGACCCCCUAGGGAGGGCAGCAGUGGGGAAUUUUCCGCAAGGGGGGAAACCCUGACGGGGAAACGCCGGGUGGGGAAGAAAGGUCUUCGAAUCGUAAAACUCUUUUAUUGGGAAAAAAAAAAGGUGUAGGUAACUAUGCCCGUUUUAACGGUACUUAUUAAAAAGACCACGGCUAACUACGU